GAGUUUUUAUUGAGAUGCUUUGAAGUUGAAGCACUGUGAGUGGGUGAGUUGGAAAAUGAAACUAGUGGGCAACACACUCCUACCUGAGGACGCAAUGACUCUGGUCUUUUCACAGUCGUUCUAAUGCGAGGCAUCGCACACACACACACACAGGUUUUAAACAGGCAGUCAAAUGAGUCAGGUUAUUAUUCAAGAGAGGCAGAAGGUGAAUGUAUUUAAGUAAAUGUGCCACUGAGUUGAAUAUUUGGCAUUUUGAGACAUUCUGAAGUACCGCGUGUGAUCCGGAGGAGAGCAGACUUCCAUCAACAGCCUCGACGCGUCGCUGCAGAUGUGCAGAUGUUGUUAUUCACAUCGUCGCCCACAGUGAGCCCUUCGCUCCGGGCAGCAGCUCACGAUCUACUUAUGAAAAGUCUGCUUAAGUCUCCGAUGGUUACCAUGGCGACGACGAGAGGAGCGCUAACCUCCCCCUCCUCAGGCCUUCGUCUUCAAGAGCAUCCCACGGCGCAGGUACGAGAAGAGGCCGAUGCCUCUUCACGUUCUUCUUCUCAAAGGCAGCAGAUGAAGCAUGAAGGUCUAUUGAUUCUUUGUGAAGCUGUAUGAAGACGUCUUUUACUCUAAAGGACGUCCUCAUUCGUCUGUCUGUGCUUAGCAUAACGACUGGAAAAAGGGGCAAAGGGCUGUUUGAAGGUAAUAAAAUCAGCUUAAAGUUGUGACCGUGUGUGUCAACUGCAAAAACAAAGCUUUUCUUCUUGUCAAAAUACAAUAGUUUUAAUGAAUCCCGUGAAACACCACAGUGAACACACAGACAUUUAGGACAGGCACAAACAGGCUGUUAAGCACAGUUAUAAACUCGAUUGGGAAUGAACAUUUAGAUGGAUACGAGCAACUGUGGAACAAAAAAAAUCACAACUUUGAAAAAACAGCAUCAUGUAAAACAUACAGUCCAGAAAAAGCCAAAACUUUAAUUACAACAGCUUGGAAUGAGUGGUGUCAACUUAUCUUCUUAAAUAAUAAUUCAUAAAUACAGAUAUACCAUAAAUAUUAUCAUUCAACAUAAAAGUAAACAAUUGAGAGAGGUGGUUUAAAGUGUUUAAAUUGCUUCAACGAAAUUAACUUUCACAAAAUGUUUAACUGAAAACACACGAGUGCAGGAAGAUGUGGGAGAAGAAGAAGGAUCUGCAAGAAGAAAAAGCGCACACGUGCUGCGCUUAGUAAAGCAACAGAUGUGCUGCCGGCUCAUGAGCUGCAUCGCACCUCCUGUGUUGUUGCCUUUGCAACUUGGUCAUGCUCUAUUUUAAAACCAUGACUCCCUGUAUUCCAAAGAGAAAAGGCGAGGGGGCCACCGGGUGACGACAGUGCCAAAAGAAAUGGGAGACUUCUUUUGACAGCACUGAAGAUGCUGCGCUGGGAGCAGAAGUAUUGCAUAGUUUUAGCGGCGUCACCAUUUGCCCCACCGAUGGCGUGUUUUUCCCUUUGGUCGGACGUACCGGUGAAGCCCUGAAACCUCCUGCAGAUUCCCUCCCGCGGCUCAUUAGAAUAAGGAGUGAGACGAGUCGAGGGUCUAUUUUUACAGGAGGAGGGGGUGAGAAAGCGAGACGGGAGGUGAGAUUUUCGCGAGGCAGAAGCGAGCGCUGAGAUUCUGAGUCUGUGCAGAGGAACGAAUGCAUCCGAUCCCGUUCCUCUCUGGUUAGAACAAAGCCCCCAAAACAUCAGCCAACAUCUGUAUUUUCUGAGACAAAACUCACCAUAAAACGUGGAUGGCUUCGUCUAUUAAAACAUAUCUAACUCUCCUCUACGAAGCACCAUAUCUUUGUGCCGCACUGCAUUGUGGGAGUGUGCAGAGCCUUUUUUUUUUCUUUUCGUAAUGGCACCACCCUCCUGUAGCAGAAGUGUCGGCUCAAGCGCCGGCCCGCGGCCGGAGGAGGGACACGAUAACGAUGGCGGCGACGAGGGAGAGCGGCAGCAGCAGGAGGAGGAGGAGGGCGAGCGGGACGGAGGGGGGCGGCGGCCACAAAGACGCCGGGCGCCCGGAGCCUCGUGGGAGCUCCGCCGGCCCCUCGGCGCCGGGCCGCAGGAUGACCAGCGGCCUGACCUGCGAGACGCUCUCCUGCGGGACGAAAGGGCGCACAUUUGAAUCCCGCGUCCGCGCCCGUCGGGGGGGGCCCGUCGGCCAUGUUGGCAGCCUUUCAUACCUCCGGGAUGGUCCUGCUGUGCGCCCUGGCGGGGCUCAGCCUGAGGGUCCAGCGGUGCGUCCGGCAGCUCCGCCCGCCGUCGUCCUCGCUCUCGGUGGUGUCUUGCCGCGCGACGCGAGGACGCUUGCGUCUCCGCGAGCUGAUUCGCUGGAGGGGACCCGGCUCCUGGAGUCUGAAACCAAUCGGGGGCGAGGGAGGAGGGGGG
Molecule: long non-coding RNA, 2397 nt
Organism: Gasterosteus aculeatus aculeatus (three-spined stickleback)
Lineage: Eukaryota; Metazoa; Chordata; Actinopteri; Perciformes; Gasterosteidae
Source: Ensembl